This 207-nucleotide ribosomal RNA is filed under the name uncultured bacterium. RNAcentral's name for it is "partial 16S ribosomal RNA". It matches the Rfam family "Bacterial small subunit ribosomal RNA", at positions 568 to 774 of the family's 1533-position model. The record is from RNAcentral.
CGCGCAGGCGGCCAGGUCAGUCGAAUGUGAAAGCCCCCGGCUCAACUGGGGAGGGUCAUUCGAUACUGCCUGGCUCGAAGAUAGGAGAGGGAAGUGGAAUUUCAGGUGUAGUGGUGAAAUGCGUAGAUAUCUGAAGGAACACCAGUGGCGAAGGCGACUUUCUGGCCUAUUCUUGACGCUGAGGCGCGAAAGCUAGGGGAGCGAACG